RNAcentral lists this ribosomal RNA (492 nucleotides) under uncultured bacterium. Its description in RNAcentral is "partial 16S ribosomal RNA". It matches the Rfam family "Bacterial small subunit ribosomal RNA", at positions 29 to 507 of the family's 1533-position model. The record is from RNAcentral.
AGUGAACGCUGGCGGUAGGCCUAACACGUGCAAGUCGAACGGCAGCACAGUAAGAGCUUGCUCUUACGGGUGGCGAGUGGCGGAUGGGUGAGGAAUACAUCGGAAUCUACUUUUUCGUGGGGGAUAACGUAGGGAAACUUACGCUAAUACCGCAUACGACCUACGGGUGAAAGCAGGGGAUCUUCGGACCUUGCGCGAUUGAAUGAGCCGAUGUCGGAUUAGCUAGUUGGCGGGGUAAAGGCCCACCAAGGCGACGAUCCGUAGCUGGUCUGAGAGGAUGAUCAGCCACACUGGAACUGAGACACGGUCCAGACUCCUACGGGAGGCAGCAGUGGGGAAUAUUGGACAAUGGGCGCAAGCCUGAUCCAGCCAUACCGCGUGGGUGAAGAAGGCCUUCGGGUUGUAAAGCCCUUUUGUUGGGAAAGAAAAGCAGCAGGUUAAUACCCCGCUGUUCUGACGGUACCAAAAGAAUAAGCACCGGCUAACUUCGUG